Molecule: long non-coding RNA, 397 nt
Organism: Eucalyptus grandis
Lineage: Eukaryota; Viridiplantae; Streptophyta; Magnoliopsida; Myrtales; Myrtaceae
Exons: 3
Source: RefSeq, a predicted model, not a curated record
GUGGAGGAGGAGGAGAAAGAAGAUUCAAAAGCUUUUUUCAUCCUCAAUGAGAUUAUACUUGUCUUAAAGGAUGCUAAGGAGGAAUCUAGGAAGGAAGCUUCUGAUGUUCUCAUCAACAUAAGUUCCAGCUUGAGAAGCAUUUUGCCUGUUAGUUCAGUUGCACCUUGUCAGAAACUGAUUAACAUGAUAGUGGGCUAUCUUUCUGGUUCAUCACCUCAAAUUACAAGUGGAGCUGUUUCUGCAUUGUCCGUACUAGUUUACAAGGAUACAGAUAUCUGUCUAUCAAUUCCUGAUCUUAUUCCUUCUGUUCUUUCUCUGCUACAAAGCAAAGCGGUGGAAGUGAUAAAAGUGAGUAUACCAUUACCAAAGUAGAUUCUUGCCCCAAUUGGCAUGGCUU